RNAcentral lists this ribosomal RNA (443 nucleotides) under uncultured bacterium. Its description in RNAcentral is "partial 16S ribosomal RNA". It matches the Rfam family "Bacterial small subunit ribosomal RNA", at positions 338 to 795 of the family's 1533-position model. The record is from RNAcentral.
CCUACGGGUGGCAGCAGUGGGGGAUAUUGGACAAUGGGGGAAACCCUGAUCCAGCGACGCCGCGUGAGUGAAGAAGUAUUUCGGUAUGUAAAGCCCUAUCAGCAGGGAAGAAAGAAAUGACGGUACCUGAGUAAGAAGCCCCGGCUAACUACGUGCCAGCAGCCGCGGUAAUACGUAGGGGGCAAGCGUUAUCCGGAAUUACUGGGUGUAAAGGGAGCGUAGACGGUAAUGCAAGUCUGGAGUGAAAGGCGGGGGCCCACACCCCGGCCGGCUGUGGAAACUGUGAAUCUGGAGUGCAGGAGAGGCAGGCGGAAGUCCUGGUGUAGCGGUGAAAUGCAUAGAUAUUAGGAGGAACACCAGUGGCGAAGGCGGCCUGCUGGACUGUAACUGACGUUGAGGCUCGAAAGCGUGGGGAGCAAACAGGAUUAGAUACCCGGGUAGUC